ACAUGGUAACUUCAAACCUAAAGAUCAUCCAACACGAUGGCCUGCUAGUAUAGGAAGGUAAAAUAGAUAGACCAAUUUAUCCAUUGGACUAAUCUGUCAAACUGUAAAUAAAUGGGAGAUAAAAAAAAAUUAUAGUAAGGGGCCACCACUAUUUGCCCUAAAACUUUCAGCAACUACAGAAAACAAAAAGGCACCUGACAACCGAAUACACAAAGGAAAAAUUAUAAAGAUUCUAGCAAACUACACGAAACACAAGAGUAACACCACUAGUAGGUCUGGAAUACAGACAAGAACAAGCUGGCUUCAAAGAUCUUCGUCGGAAUCAUCGCCACGUGCCGCCUCAGUCUUUGGUAAUGUGAUGUACAUGCUGUUGCCUCUACUACUCUAUGCACCUGCCAUGCAGCUCUGCCUCAUCAUUUAGAGUUGGAACAUGGUGUCCGUCGUUCACCAUGGGUCUAGUUUGACCAAAAAAUGGAUUUGCAGGGUUGGUUCUAUUGAUUUCAACACUUUUUGUACAUACCAAUCUCUGAUACCAAUUUGUGAUGAAAGUACUUGCCAUUAGCUUUCAAUUGAUGUACAUAAAGGGGAUCAGUUUAUAAAUCCAAUAUCUACACCAUAAAAAUCCUCCAAAAUCCAAAGCUCGACCUAAAAAAUAUAUACUAAGUUUACCCAAGUACAUGUAUAACCCACAAAGGAUAAUAUCUCACAAAGAGGAGGAGAAUAUAGCUGCUUACUCACAAAGAGGAAGAGAUAAAAAAUCACGACAUUUUGCUUCACAAAGAGGAAUGGCUGCUAUUUAUUUCUCUUUUGUCCCAAAUGCAUGCUCGCAGGGCAACCCACAAAAUGGG
Molecule: long non-coding RNA, 848 nt
Filed under: Olea europaea (common olive)
Lineage: Eukaryota; Viridiplantae; Streptophyta; Magnoliopsida; Lamiales; Oleaceae
Description: long non-coding RNA (OEUR_LNC001733)
Source: RNAcentral